GCUGUUACUCACAGCAACAUUCAUCUGUCUUCCUCUUCUGUUCCUCCAGGUUUGAUGAGAAGCCCACUGUACUGUGGGGAGAGGGAGUGGGAUGAAGUGUGUGGUUAUUGCAACUAACCACAGGGGAAAAUCCUUUUCCUGACACUGGUCUUUGAAGAUAUCGUAAAUCGUGGAGUGAGGCUUCACAGGUGGAUUUGUGCAGAGUGCCUGGCCUGAUGCGAGUUCAGACUCAAUGAAGGCUACUCAGUGGAGACCGACAGCUUCUGCGGAGAGCAAAGGUUCAUUUUAUUGGGUGGGAAAGAAGCGGAAGAUACGACAGAGAGAAAGAAU
RNAcentral lists this long non-coding RNA (330 nucleotides) under Apteryx rowi (Okarito brown kiwi). RNAcentral's name for it is "lncRNA (ENSARWG00000017341.1)". The record is from RNAcentral. Lineage: Eukaryota; Metazoa; Chordata; Aves; Apterygiformes; Apterygidae.